Molecule: ribosomal RNA, 497 nt
Filed under: uncultured bacterium
Lineage: Bacteria
Description: partial 16S ribosomal RNA
Rfam family: Bacterial small subunit ribosomal RNA
Source: RNAcentral
GAUGAACGCUGGCGGCGUGCUUAACACAUGCAAGUCGAACGAAGCACCUUAUUCUGAUUAUUUCGGUAUGAAGUUCUUUAUGACUGAGUGGCGGACGGGUGAGUAACGCGUGGGUAACCUGCCUUGUACUGGGGGAUAGCAGCUGGAAACGGCUGGUAAUACCGCAUAAGCGCACAAUGUUGCAUGACAUGGUGUGAAAAACUCCGGUGGUAUAAGAUGGCCCCGCGUCUGAUUAGCUAGGUGGGGAGAUAACAGCCCACCAAGGCGACGAUCAGUAGCCGACCUGGGAGGGUGACCGGGCAAAUUUGGACUGAGACACGGCCCAAACUCCUACGGGAGGCAGGAGGGGGGAAUAUUGCACAAUGGAGGAAACUCUGAUGCAGCGACGCCGCGUGAGUGAAGAAGUAAUUCGUUAUGUAAAGCUCUAUCAGCAGGGAAGAUAGUGACGGUACCUGACUAAGAAGCUCCGGCUAAAUACGUGCCAGCAGCCGCCGUAA